GACGAACGCUGGCGGCGUGCUUAACACAUGCAAGUCGAACGGAAAGGCCCUGCUUUUGUGGGGUGCUCGAGUGGCGAACGGGUGAGUAACACGUGAGUAACCUGCCCUUGACUUUGGGAUAACUUCAGGAAACUGGGGCUAAUACCGGAUAGGAGCUCCUGCUGCAUGGUGGGGGUUGGAAAGUUUCGGCGGUUGGGGAUGGACUCGCGGCUUAUCAGCUUGUUGGUGGGGUAGUGGCUUACCAAGGCUUUGACGGGUAGCCGGCCUGAGAGGGUGACCGGCCACAUUGGGACUGAGAUACGGCCCAGACUCCUACGGGAGGCAGCAGUGGGGAAUAUUGCACAAUGGGCGGAAGCCUGAUGCAGCAACGCCGCGUGCGGGAUGACGGCCUUCGGGUUGUAAACCGCCUUCGCCUGUGCCGAAGCGUGAGUGACGGUAAUGGGUAAAGAAGCACCGGCUAACUACGUG
This 468-nucleotide ribosomal RNA is filed under the name uncultured bacterium. Its description in RNAcentral is "partial 16S ribosomal RNA". It matches the Rfam family "Bacterial small subunit ribosomal RNA", at positions 28 to 507 of the family's 1533-position model. The record is from RNAcentral.